GAGCGGUAAUGCCAUUGUACUUCGUUACAAAACGCUGACAGCACCGGAUCGAAAAUGUUUUGGGAUCUGCUCGGUGGAAUUUUCGAGUUUAUUUUCGGGCUCUUGUUUCCUAGUUCCGGUAGUGGGGAUGAGCCAGACUCCGAGGAGGUCGAGACCACUUGAUGCGUCUACAUAUAAGUUAAUACAUUUAUCUUUCAUGUUUUUGCUUUAUUACAUCUACGUAAAAUGUGUAUGUUUAACAUAAAUAGCUUCAACAGCUACUA
This is a long non-coding RNA of Drosophila sechellia, 263 nucleotides long. RefSeq lists it as uncharacterized. The record is from RefSeq and is a predicted model, not a curated record. Lineage: Eukaryota; Metazoa; Arthropoda; Insecta; Diptera; Drosophilidae. The transcript has 2 exons.